CUCUGGGGAGUUAGCAAAAUUUUAUUUUUUUUAUUUUUUUUUUUAAUUAUUUUUCAAACAUUGCCUCUACAAGCUAAUCACACUUCUCCAAGAAAAUAUCUUUGCCAUUACUACUAAGUAGGCACAUUUUAGAAACUUUGGAAAAAUGAACUCUGAAAUGAAAUCCAGAAACAAUUAAAUCAUCCAGUUCUGAAACCUUUUAAACCGAAGUUAUUUUCUCUGGUUUAUGGGUGUCUUCCCCAGUCUCUUCUGGAAUGCUUUGGGUUUUGCUUAAAAACAUUGCAGUAGUGGGAAAUGGUUUUGACAGAAUAUCCAGCCCUUUUUUUUGCAUGUCCUCAGCACAGAGGCAUCAACUAUUAGAAGAAAACCCCAAAUAUUUUCUGCCUGACGUGCUUCUCAUCUGCCACUGUUGUGGGCACUGGGAAAUGCAGGAACACUCUGCCCAGCUGCUGGCUGUGCCCUGACCCUGCCACUUGCUCUUCUUUCCCAGGGCGGCACAAACUCCAAGCUCAACAGAAGUUUCAUGGUCCAGUUUUUCAGGCCCACACAUGCCACAAGCCACACUACAAAGUCCAGCUUUGGCUCUGAGUCCUUGGGGGUGCUGAUGGGGGCCUCCAUGGGCCACCUAGUCCUGCACCUUGCAUCUCUCCUAACCCUCAUCCACAGGACAUUUGCAGCUCUCUUAGGAGUUGCUGGAGUCCCAGCAUGCCACUACUGUUUGACCUGAAUCUCUAGCCCUUCUGUACUUCCCUUCUCUCUCCUGCCCAUAAUUAGGGGCGGAUCUCAGACAACAGGAACAAGUAGGGGUGGGAAUGUUGAUGUGGCUCAGGCUAGCUAAGGAGGAGUUCAGUGAUGGACUUGCACAGCAAGGACUAGGGUGGCUGUGCUCUGGGAUGGCUGUGAUCUCCCUGAAGAAUUCCCCUUCUGGACCUGCGGUUCUUCACCAUGUACCAGACUCAGAUCCCAAGAAGCUCCAAGCCAUGUGUGGCUUGGCCUGCUCAUCUCAAGCUGGAGGUUCCUGAUGAAGCUCCUGUUACCUUCCACCGUGGCCCAGAGCAGGGACCUGGCUCUGCCUGCAUCUCCUUGGGCAGAGGUAUUUCCAACUGCCAGCAUAACAUCACUUUUCUCCUCCAGCACAGAUGCACAAGCAGUGAAGCUCUGUCAAAUCAUAGGGGUUUAUCUGCUUUGCCCCAUGAGAAAUCUAUUUUUCUUCCUUUGUUUGGUGACCUGAGCCUUAUCCCAGCUGGUGAAGAGCUGGUUUAUGAUUCAUGACUGGAAAGAGAGGCUGAAUCAGAGAGUUUUGGCAGCAGCCAGGCUGAAGGUGGGGCUUGAGGAUGGUACUGGCUGCAGGAGCUAUGAAGGGUCAAGCAGCCCACCAGGAGGGUCCCCAACUGUUCCCAAGCCACCUGCACCUUUCCUAGAGGCAACCCUUGCUGGCAUUGAGAUUUCUCUGCAUGGUGCCUUGGUCCUAGGAGGGCUUUUUCUCUCAGAGGGAGGUUUGCAUGGAAAUAACUUGAUGUGGGAAUCUGCUCUUUGCACUGAGGGGGUUAAAGUCUGCUCCCUCCUUCCAGGCUGACCGUGGAAAAUACUGCUCAUGCCAGGGACUAUGCAGGACAGAAACUAGGGCUCCUAGGAUACAAUUAUACAAAUAAUACAACUUGUUCCACGAGCGGCGGAAACCAGCAAAGCCUGAUUUCCGAUGGGUUUAUGUUGUGGGGUAAAGGGCGUGCAGGAGCUUUCACUGGCCAGUAAAAGCUAAACACACACCAUCACCUCAUCAGCCACCAAACUUCACAAAACUUACAUUCCCAUAAUAGCUGGGAGUCCCUGUACAGUGUGGCUGAAAGUGUCCAAAAAGAAAGAGAGUUGGAGAGGAGGGGUGCAGGGGUGGUAUGGCAGUGAGAACCUUGUUUCUUUAGAAAAUCAGGUUGUAAAAAUGAGGAUGCAGGCAGACAAACUCUGGGCUAGUUUAAUGAUGUUUUCAUCAUUUUCUACCUCAAACUAUGUGUCUACUUUGUGAUGAUGAUCAUUUUGCCAGGGCCAAAGGCACUCAAAGGCAGAGGUUUUACAUGACCAUGUGGCAUGGGGUGCUUUGGGCCCACAGGGAGAAGUGUUGUUCUGUUUGGCAGUCUGGAUUUUGGCCUUGGAGAAACUUGUGUCCCAUUUCCUGUUUCAGCCCAGACCUGGCCUUUUUGCUUUGAUUGUCCCUGAGUCUCAGACCUUGGGAUAUCUGGUGGUCAAUAUGUGCUAAAAGCAGAGCCCUGCCCCUGUCCUCUGCACCAGGCAUGAAUGACCCCUGAGCUGUAUCUGACACUGAGAAGAUGCAACUGUCCCAUAUCCAGCUUCUGGUGACCACUUAAAGAAACCAGCAGCUUAGUUUUCUACUUUUUUCCUGCCGGGAUCACGUCACAUUUGAUUUCUAGGAGACAAUACACGUGUGAUGGAGAUGUUCAGCAGAUACAUGCUGGAGCCUCAUAGGAGCCAGACCUUCAUCUGUUUGUCACAAGUCCCUUCUUAGGAGCAGCACCAGCUCAUGUCACCCUUUGAGGGAUAGAGGAGCAGUGGAGAUGAGGAAGAGUUUUCUAACUAAACCCAACAGAGACGUGCUUGAUGAUUUUUGUCAGGAUAUGGUGAAGGCUCCUUGGUGACACACUAGUGGGGGGGAGGGGGAGUUUCUGUGUCAUUUUCAUGAGAGUGGCAGUGGGGCCACUGGUGUGCUUUGACUCUGAGCCACCCACCCUUGGGGAGAGGUCCCAACAGAACUUGGUGUCCUGUGAGUGAGGGGGGGCUGGGAGAGCCCUGGUCUUGUUCCCACUCACCUGGGUAGGAAGCAGUGUGGUCCAUACCCUGCCCCACUCUCCUGAGCCAGCCGUGGGAGUUGUGAUUCUGGUGUGCUCCUUGACAAUUUGUCUCUGGGUUUGAGAGGCUGUGCCCAGCCAGGUGGGCCCUGCUGGCAGCACAGCCCAGAGCCGUGGCCUUGGCAGGAGGUGACACAGCUGAGGUGACUCGUUACUGCCAGCACACAAGACACUGCUGGGGUGCUCAUUAACACAGGGAGGAGAGGGUCUCGAGGUAAACAGAGCAAGGCUGGCAGAUGACUGUGCCAUCUCUGCACAACCUCGUCUAAGCCUAUUUAUAUAAAUCAUGUGAAACCCAAAUUAGAAUUUUAUCCAUCUGCUGUGCUGUAAGUCGCUCUUCCACCAGCACAGCAAGCCAAGAAAAUGCUCUUAACUCCCUAAGAUCUGUCUCAAGUGUGAGCAAGUUUUGUAUACAUGGCCCAUGGCUGGUGUGGGGGUGCUAUGCUGCACAUCCUGCAAGGCUGCAGGACAGGCGGACACCAGGCCCUCCAGCAGACAGCAGUGUCAGGACAUCAAAGGCGAGCCAGACAGAGGUGUGGAUGUUCAGAGAGAAGUCUCCAAGGCUCCUCACUGUGUGUGGGAGGACAAGGGCUCACCUCUGCCCCAUGUGUGAAACAACCAUGGCUGAAAGUGUGGAGCAUGACCACCUCUGCCUGAUUCCCGUCCCGAUGCUGAGGCCCAAAGACUGAACUUAGAGUGAACUUGCCAUGGUUUGGCACAACAAGGAAGGUCAGGAAAUGCUCUCUGCUCUUUCCAUGUGUCCUACUUGUAACAAAGCUGUACUUUCAGCCUUUCCUUCAGGGAGGCUGUUACCCUUUGCUUUGCAGAUACCCAGUGCUCUACAUGGGACAGCUCCUUGGAGGAGUCACACCCAGGUAACCCCAGCAUGGCCACAGCUCUGUGCCUGCCUUCAUGUGUGGUCACUGAACCUGCCACUCCUCUGGGAGCACACACUUGUGGGAGCAUCCCAGGGCCGCUCCUGUGGGAGCACACACUUGUGGGAGCAUCCCAGGGCCGCUCCUGUGGGAGCACACACUUGUGGGAGCAUCCCGGGGCCGAUGACUCGGGCGGCCAGCCGCUGCCCUGGCAGCCAGCAUGGGGCUGGCCCGGCCACAGCACAGCAAUUUCUAGGAAACACGUCUGCCUCCUCACACUGGAGGUCCUUGAUGGAGAUGAUGACUCACCAAGGGGUCAUUCCACCUCUUUACCCACCACUGUUAUGAUAUGCCUUUCUUGGCAUUUAGUGCUUUUCCUGUCAUUAAAAAUAAAACAAUUUAAAAAAUAUUAUUAUUAUUAUUAUUUUUUAUUUCCCCCUCAUCCAAUUGAGGAUUUCAGUGAACAGUUUGGGGGUAAACAAGCAGAGAUGACACUGUGGAAGAACAGUUGGUCAAGUUUGUGAGAGAUGGAGCCAGAUCUAAAUAUGGCACAGCCUCGCUGGUACGGAGCAGAAGGAAGGAGGCAUAUGUGUCUGAGCAGUUGGAUUGCUGCACGCUCUGUUAGAUUUCCUUAACAUCAAGUGCAUAUCUUCCUCUUUUCUUUCCUUUUUAGUAUAAAAAAAAGGAGUAGAAGCUCACCAAAAAUGUCUUUGUGUGGAAAUAGGGAAGGGCUAAGAGGAGGUGAUGGACCCUCUCCAUCCCCUGGCUCAGUUUACAGGUGCAGGCAGAUGUGUCUGCAUGAGAUGCUCCUCUGCAAGGACCAAACCAACAUGCCAUCCCAAAAUUCAGCCUGGCAAAGGCCUUCUCCCAUGUGACCUCCAUGCUGCUUGGCAUUGAUGGAAUGACUGCUUUGGGCCAUGUAUCCCACAGAAUCCAAGACCUGCAGGAGGGAGGGCACCACCGGUGUUCAUCUGGAGAUGCUGCCCACUCUUGGCCUCUCAGCUGGGCCUCUGUCCACCAGGGGCAAGAUGGACCAGGUGCUCUGGGCUGUGCCCUCAGUCUGGGUGUCUCCUCCAAAAUCCCAGGCCACUGUGCUGACAACAGAAAACCCAAUUCCCUCUAGCAGUUAGCUCCUCCUGGGAAGUACAUCUUCACACCCCACUGGCUGCAUCAGCUUUUUGAGCCCCUUUGUCUGCUGACAAAAAGCCUGCAGAGAAAUCAAUGUCCUUAGAGUGUGUUCAGUGCUGGAAAGAGCUGCACAAGGAUUUCAAUCUCCCUUUGUGGAUGACUGUGGAGACAACCAGAGGUCAGGUUAUGCCAGGGACACAACGUGCUGCUGGAUGCACACUGCCAGUCCUCAUGUGGCUCCUGCCUGUCCUGGUGGGCAGCUCAACCCCUGGGCUGGGGAACUGAAGCUUUCUUGUCUGUGGGAUGCUCUUGCUGCAUUUUCCCACACCCAGGGAAAAGCAGGGAGCUGGAAAGGAGAAGCCAAAGGUGAGGAUGUUUGCAAGCAGCUUCAGCCAGGGCUGUGCAGAACAUGACCUGCACUAAAAAGUCACUAUUUGCCAGCAAAUAACAUAGGGCUUUCUUUUUGUUUAAUUGCCUCGGUCUUCUUAAUUGCAUUUUAGAUCAGAGACCCCAAAAUCCUCAGCACAGGAGAAAGAGCUACAAAGAGACAAUGGAGCAAGGCAGGUCCUAGAGGUUGUGCUGCCUGGUGUGUGCCAGCAAUGUCAGCUGCCUUAGAGCAGCACCUCAGCUACUUCUCCUGCCCUCUGAAGACUUGUGUGAAAAUGACCAAGAUACAAAGGGCCCAGGGUGCUCCUGGAAGAGGAAAAGCCAAUUGGUGUUGCUUGAAUGAAGAGGCUGAGGACAGUGCCCAAGUGUCUGCACUCACAUCCUGGAAAAUCCUGGAGAUUGAUCCUGGUUUGGUCACCCACUGAUGAGCUAAUUUUUAACACCAACCAUGAACAUCUCACUGCUGGAAUUGCGGUGUGCCCGGUCCUCAGCAAGCAUGUGAGCGAGCGAAUCACUCCAGCAGCGUGGAUCGUUCUUCUGCACCCAUUGUUAUGGAAAUCGCCUUAGAGACUGUUGCUCCAGCAAACAUUUUUAGAAGCACGAGUGAGUUGCGCAACAGGAAAGCUGCUUGAAGGUGAGGAAAACCCCCCUCCAGGCUCUCAGCACUGCCCCUUCCUCCAGCGGCGCAGUGGAGCCCUGCUGGCUCUCCUGGUGGGGAUGGGAUUUAGGGUGGGGACGGGAUUUAGGGUGUUCCUUUGCCUGGUAAAGCAGGGAGAAAGUGCUUCUGGAGGAGAAGCCCCUUCUGCGUCAGUCUCCAAGGAAACCCUUGGUGUUGCGUGGCUCAGCCUUCGUUGCAUGCCUGGGCAGAAGCUCACACAUCCCAGACUUGUGCCUGAAUCAUACAUCCACACUUUGAUCUGCUAGUGGCGUUUUAUGGGUGCAAAAUUUAGGCAAAUUGUGGGGUUUUCCUACCCCUACGUGCCACUUUAUCUCAGAGAGCCUCAUGGUUGGAUUUGGUGUGCAGCACAAGUGAAACCAGCCCUAUCUCUGUUUCAAAUGCACAUUCCUCACCACUGACUCUGGAAGGAGAAGCCUUCUAAUGCCCCCACACCUCCCAGCUUCUCGAGAGUAAGCCUGGGAGCUGUGGUGGUUGCAGGGAGGUUUGGGCAGCAGGUGCUUCCAGGUGUGCUGUCACCAGCCUGGGUACUUGCCUGAGCCAGGGCAGGUCACCCCUCUGCCCCCUGCCUGGUGAGAAGCAGGAGGGGUAGAGGAGAGCAAGUCACUGCCCCAAAAGCUUCCAAACACCCACAGGGCAGUUUCACUGCUCACCCCCCAUUUGUGCUCAAACAUCCAGCCCUGAGUUUUAAUUUUAAAAAUAAUCUCUUCUUGUUGCAAUUAACUACAAACAAUUGCUUCUCUUGAGUUUGCUCAUGCUCCUCAUCACUGCCUGCUGUGGAGCAGGACCAGCUCUCCAGCCUGUGCCCAGGAGCUCCGAGCAGCCUCAGCUGAUGGAAGGGGAAAAGCACAGAUCCAGUGACCUUUGUUUGCCUCACUGCUGCCCACAGCCCCUGCCUGAGAUUUGAGGAGUGCUCUUAGGAAAAAAGUACCAUUUCUGGCACGCUGGCCCUGCUGCUGAAGAACUGUUCCUCUUCCACCUCCUUCACCUGCUGGGAUUAAUAGCUACAGGUGACGCGUCUGGAGCCUGUCCCGAAACUGAUGUGGUUGCUGAUGUGACCGCAGAAUGGAGGUGAAACAUUUCUCUUCUGGUUUCACAGGACCACGCGCUGGCGGCUACACCUGCCUCCCUCGCACCGCCAAAAAGGAUCGCUGUAAGAUUUCUGGGCUGUUUUCAGCACAACAGGGACUUUAGACCCAGAUUUUAGUCCUUUGCACAAGCCGCUGCUGUUCCCCUUGUGAAUUGAAGGUGCCUCGAUAAACAUUCUGAAAGGUCAGCUAUUUUCACUGUGCCUGUGGCUUGCAUAAGAACCUCAACAUCCUCUGCUGCAAAGAGCAGUGUUAGGAACUUCCUACUGCCACACUGAAUCACAAUAGCUUCCCACAGCAACCAGUGGUAAAAAUAAACUGGGCAAGGGGAAGUGGACAGCUUCUGCUGUUCCGCUUUCUUGGGCACACUUGAGUCACAAAAAAAGCGAUGUAGAACAAGACAUUUAUUUUGCUGAUGCCAAUGAAAUCCAUGAAUGGUUCAGAGCACGGUCCCGCUGAAAUCAGAGUGUUUUGCAAUGAGAUGCUUGCUGUGCUCAAAGUUAAGCAUGCGCUUAAAUGCUUUCUUAAGCCGGCAUUUUUAUUUAGGAUCCAACCUUAGGAAUUAGACCAAAAGGAAGGACCCCUGCACAUCCAAGUGCUGCCUUUGUACUAAAGGCACAGGAAUAUUUCAUGUGUUAAGGGUCUAUAAAAGACCACCGAGGAGACAGUGGCACUGAAAUGGUUUCAGUAGUAGAUCUCAGCUUUGAGAAAAGCAGAUUUUGACCAGAAAAGCAUCUUCAAAUACAAAUCAAUUUGAAGUUCUGCCUAGAGACAAUGCCAUUUGAACAGCACAGUUCUCAACAACAUUACGACUAAGACUCUGUGUGUGCACGUGUUUGUUUGCGUGUCGGGGAGUGUUUUAAGAGCAAUAUUUUUCCUGUUACACAAGGUACAGCCCAGUUCUGGCUGAAAUUCAGCCAGCUGGGAAAAAAAACAAAACUUGAGGAGACCUAGUCAGGUUGCUGAGCCUGGGAAUCUUCUGGUGAAAGAGACCUGCCUCUUCCCUUCAAACAGUGUGUGCUGACAAAGUUGAUAUUAAGAGGCUAAAGAGAUGAAAAGUUAGAGGCAAAAAAAAAUAAUGAAUGGCUUAUCUCCCCAGACUGGGGAGAAGAAAUGGUUCCCACUCAUGCUUAUAAGAAUUUGGAGAGCAAGGGCUUGUAGGAUAACCCAGGUGAGAAGAGACCACAAGAGAGCUCCAGUCAAACCUCUGGCUGGAAGCUGGGUCAGCCCUGAGGGCAGGCCAGGUUACCUGGGGAUGUGUUGAGCUGGAUCUUGAAAUCUAUCGAGGAUGGAGAUUGCACAACCUCUCUGAGCAAUCCACCAAUGUUUGACUGCCUGCAUGGUGAAAAUAGACUGCAGUAGAAGUGGCUCAUACAGAACCACAUUUUUAAUGUCAUCCCGCUCAUUAAAAAGAGAAAGAUCAAAUCUAUUUUGUAACAGGGAACAGUUUGUGUGAGGCACGGAAAACUUCUGGUACCAGAGGACUGAUUCACACGAGAAGGAAUGUAAAAGAUGGAAGGAAACCCAAGGGUGCCUCCAGUUACAUUCCUGUCUUGAAAUGUUACUGUUGCAGCACAAAAGGUUUGUAUUUAUAGUAGUGGAUGCCAACAGGAAAAGAUACUCUAAAAAUAAACAAGGAUGCACGGAUAAAAACA
This is a long non-coding RNA of Taeniopygia guttata (zebra finch), 8667 nucleotides long. RefSeq lists it as uncharacterized. The record is from RefSeq and is a predicted model, not a curated record. NCBI's taxonomy places the organism in Eukaryota, Metazoa, Chordata, Aves, Passeriformes, Estrildidae.